UCCGUAGGCGGGCAGCUAAGUCAGUGGUGAAAGUCUGCAGCUCAACUGUAGAAUUGCCAUUGAUACUGGUUGUCUUGAAUUAAUAUGAAGUGGUUAGAAUAUGUAGUGUAGCGGUGAAAUGCAUAGAUAUUACAUAGAAUACCAAUUGCGAAGGCAGAUCACUAAUAAUAUAUUGACGCUGAUGGACGAAAGCGUGGGGAGCGAACAGGAUUAGAUACCCUGGUAGUCC
RNAcentral lists this ribosomal RNA (229 nucleotides) under uncultured bacterium. Its description in RNAcentral is "partial 16S ribosomal RNA". It matches the Rfam family "Bacterial small subunit ribosomal RNA", at positions 568 to 796 of the family's 1533-position model. The record is from RNAcentral.